This 253-nucleotide ribosomal RNA is filed under the name uncultured bacterium. RNAcentral describes it as "partial 16S ribosomal RNA". It matches the Rfam family "Bacterial small subunit ribosomal RNA", at positions 524 to 776 of the family's 1533-position model. The record is from RNAcentral.
UACGAAGGGGGCUAGCGUUGUUCGGAAUCACUGGGCGUAAAGCGCACGUAGGCGGAUUUGCCAGUCAGGGGUGAAAUCCCGGGGCUCAACCCCGGAACUGCCCUUGAUACAGCAAAUCUCGAGUCCGGAAGAGGUGAGUGGAAUUCCUAGUGUAGAGGUGAAAUUCGUAGAUAUUAGGAAGAACACCAGUGGCGAAGGCGGCUCACUGGUCCGGCACUGACGCUGAGGUGCGAAAGCGUGGGGAGCAAACAGG